RNAcentral lists this ribosomal RNA (127 nucleotides) under Lepisosteus oculatus (spotted gar). Lineage: Eukaryota; Metazoa; Chordata; Actinopteri; Semionotiformes; Lepisosteidae. The record is from RNAcentral.
GCCAGCAGCCAUAUCACCCUGAAACCCACUGUAAGUGUAAGUGUAAGCCACUGAAGCUCAGCAGGUGUGAUCCUGGUCAGUACCUGGAUGGGAGACCUCAUGGGAAAAACUAAGGUUGCUGCUGGAA